Small nuclear RNA from Molossus molossus (Pallas's mastiff bat), 157 nucleotides. RefSeq annotates it as U1 spliceosomal RNA. The transcript has a single exon. The record is from RefSeq and is a predicted model, not a curated record. NCBI's taxonomy places the organism in Eukaryota, Metazoa, Chordata, Mammalia, Chiroptera, Molossidae.
ACAGGCAGGGGACAUGCCAUGAUGAGGAAGGUGGUUUUCCCGGGGUGAGGCUGACCCAUUGCACUCCAGAUGCGCUGACCUCUGUGAUUUCCCCAAAUGUGGGAAACUCAACUGCAUAAUUUCUGGUAGUGGGGGACUGCAUUUAUGCUGUACCCUC